GACGAACGCUGGCGGCGUGCUUAACACAUGCAAGUCGAACGGAAAGGCCCUGCUCUUGUGGGGUUCUCGAUUGGCGAACGGGUGAGUAACACGCGAGUAACCUCCCCUUGACUUUGUGAUAACUUCACGGAACUCCGGCUAAUACCCGAGAGAAUCUCCUGCUCCACGGGGGUGGUUGGUAAAUUCCGGCGGUUGUGGAUGUUCUCGCUGCUUAUCAGCUUGUUGGUGGGGUAGGGGCUGACGAAGGCUGUGACGGCUAGCCGGCCUGAGAGGGUAACCGGCGACAGUGGGACUAAGAUAGGCAGCAGAAUCCAACGGGACGCAGCAGUGGGGAAUAUUGCAGAGUGGGCGGAAGUCUGAUGCAGCAACGCCGCGUGCGUGAUGAUGGGCUUCGGGUUAUAAACCUAUUUCGCCUGUGACAAGGCGUGAUUGACGGUAAUGGGUAAAAAAGCAACGGCUAACUACGUG
RNAcentral lists this ribosomal RNA (468 nucleotides) under uncultured bacterium. Its description in RNAcentral is "partial 16S ribosomal RNA". It matches the Rfam family "Bacterial small subunit ribosomal RNA", at positions 28 to 507 of the family's 1533-position model. The record is from RNAcentral.